GGGGAUGUAGCUUGGUGGUAGAGCACUUGCCUAGAAUGCACUAGGCCCUGGAUUUGAACCCCAGCACCCUCA
RNAcentral lists this transfer RNA (72 nucleotides) under Ictidomys tridecemlineatus (thirteen-lined ground squirrel). Its description in RNAcentral is "Spermophilus tridecemlineatus (thirteen-lined ground squirrel) tRNA". It matches the Rfam family "tRNA". From Rfam's summary of the family: Transfer RNA (tRNA) molecules are approximately 80 nucleotides in length. Their secondary structure includes four short double-helical elements and three loops (D, anti-codon, and T loops). Further hydrogen bonds mediate the characteristic L-shaped molecular structure. tRNAs have two regions of fundamental functional importance: the anti-codon, which is responsible for specific mRNA codon recognition, and the 3' end, to which the tRNAs corresponding amino acid is attached (by aminoacyl-tRNA synthetases). tRNAs cope with the degeneracy of the genetic code in two manners: having more than one tRNA (with a specific anti-codon) for a particular amino acid; and 'wobble' base-pairing, i.e. permitting non-standard base-pairing at the 3rd anti-codon position. The record is from Rfam by way of RNAcentral. RNAcentral also lists the same sequence under 1 other name. Lineage: Eukaryota; Metazoa; Chordata; Mammalia; Rodentia; Sciuridae.